This 253-nucleotide ribosomal RNA is filed under the name uncultured bacterium. RNAcentral describes it as "partial 16S ribosomal RNA". It matches the Rfam family "Bacterial small subunit ribosomal RNA", at positions 524 to 776 of the family's 1533-position model. The record is from RNAcentral.
GACAGAGGGUGCAAGCGUUGUUCGGAAUUAUUGGGCGUAAAGGGCGCGUAGGCGGCGCUGUAAGUCAGAUGUGAAAGCCCAGAGCUUAACUCUGGAAGUGCGUCUGAUACUGCAGUGCUCGAGUCCCGGAGAGGGUGGUGGAAUUCCCAGUGUAGAGGUGAAAUUCGUAGAUAUUGGGAGGAAUACCGGUGGCGAAGGCGACCACCUGGACGGUGACUGACGCUGAGGCGCGAAAGCGUGGGGAGCAAACAGG